Homo sapiens (human) is the source of this 1369-nucleotide long non-coding RNA. Ensembl annotates it as long intergenic non-protein coding RNA 1320. The record is from Ensembl. NCBI's taxonomy places the organism in Eukaryota, Metazoa, Chordata, Mammalia, Primates, Hominidae.
AGAACAGCACGUAGCAGGCCCCUGUGGAGGAUUAACACAGUGGCUGAACACCGGGAAGGAACUGGCACUUGGAGUCCGGACAUCUGAAACUUGGACUGUGAAUGCAGCCCGUGAAAAAGAGGGUUUUCGGAAGCUUGACAUUUAUGAGGGUGAGGAAUUGACAAGCCGACAUCAGUCUCCAGAGUGAAUCCAAGGAGUGGACCCAAGACAUUUGUGUUCUGUGAUGUGGUGGCAUGUUACCUGUCAUCUCCGAUGCAUAACUCCUAAAGUGCGUCUGGGGCAGUUGUACAGAUUGCAGAGGAUAAUACUCAAGAUGUUCUCCAAGGCCAACUAGUCAUCAGUUUAUUCAUAGCUCCCAAGAUGGUGGUGGGCCACUUCCAAGAUGGUGGCAAGAGUCGUAUUCUCUGACCUGGGGUUCUUGGUCUCAUGGAUUCCAAGGAAUGGAAUCUUGCGCCAUGUGGAGAAGCGUCAGAUAAUUAGGCAGCAGUCCAACAAUUAGGUUUUGUGGAACUUUUACUAUGUCAUCUAUUUAUUGGAAUUCCCCCUGGAUACCAGGACCCCCUCCAGCAGAGCUUAAAGUUAUAGUUACAGGAAGUACAAAUUCCUUAUGUGGAUCCCUGGAAGUGUGAUGAGAAGAACCACUGUUUCCAAGAUCUAUUUAUUCUAUUUAUCAGGCCUAUAAAAUCAUGUAAUGGCCAUGGCUUCAACUAGACUCCACAUCUUGAAUCACAGAACUCAACGAAUGGCAUCAACUACAAGCUGGUAUUCUGCUAUACAUUUAAGAGGCCAUUUUAAUAUUCUAUUAGUCUAGCAGCUUCUAAGUGAUGAGGGAUAUGGGGGGACUGGAGGAUCCCGUGCUCACUUCCUUUUCUGUAAAAGGAGCUCUUUGAUCCAAGGUGACAUGGUAUGGGAUCCAAUGACAAUAAAUCAGUUAUUCUGUGAACCCUGAUCAAAACUUGACUAAACUUUUGACAGUUAGGUUUUUUCCUGACCACAGACUCCUCACCUUUCUUUUCUUAGAAAAUUUACAUUGGAAAACAGAUGUAAAUUUUCUCCAGCCUCUUGCAAGGUUUACAGUCCAGGACUUUGAGGUCCUGGGAGUCAUCCUUUUGAAAUACAAUCAUCAAAGAAGAUAGUGCUCCAAUCUCCUAGUCUCUGUGGGAGGGUUGGAACCUAACUUCAGUAAACUAAUCACCAAUUAGCAAACACAGAGGGGCUGAUCAUACUGACCCACUUUCCCACUAAAAUGUCUAGUACUUUCCACCAGCUCACCACAGUGCUUAAAAACUCUCCUGUCUUUUGUUUUACUAGAGUUGAGUCCAAUCUCUUUCAUCUAUUGCAAUAGUGUUGAAUAAAGUCUUCCUUGCCU